RNAcentral lists this ribosomal RNA (803 nucleotides) under uncultured bacterium. Its description in RNAcentral is "bacterial SSU rRNA". It matches the Rfam family "Bacterial small subunit ribosomal RNA", at positions 556 to 1360 of the family's 1533-position model. The record is from RNAcentral.
GGGCGUAAGCGCGCGCAGGCGGCCUUUUAAGUUGGAUGUGAAAGCCUAUGGCUCAACCAUAGAACUGCAUCCAAAACUAUCAGGCUAGAGUGUGGGAGAGGAAGAUGGAAUUAGUUGUGUAGGGGUAAAAUCCGUAGAGAUAACUAGGAAUACCAAAAGCGAAGGCAAUCUUCUGGAACAUUACUGACGCUGAGGCGCGAAAGCGUGGGGAGCAAACAGGAUUAGAUACCCUGGUAGUCCACGCCCUAAACGAUGAAUGUUAGUCGUCGGGUAGCUAGUCUAUUCGGUGAUGCAGCUAACGCAUUAAACAUUCCGCCUGGGGAGUACGGUCGCAAGAUUAAAACUCAAAGGAAUAGACGGGGACCCGCACAAGUGGUGGAGCAUGUGGUUUAAUUCGAAGAUACGCGAAGAACCUUACCUAGCCUUGACAUAUUUUAGAACACUUUAGAGAUAGAGUGGUGCCUUCGGGAGCUAAUAUACAGGUGCUGCACGGCUGUCGUCAGCUCGUGUCGUGAGAUGUUGGGUUAAGUCCCGCAACGAGCGCAACCCUCGUCACUAGUUACUAACGGUUCGGCCGAGGACUCUAGUGAGACUGCCUUCGCAAGGAGGAGGAAGGUGAGGACGACGUCAAGUCAUCAUGGCCCUUACGGCUAGGGCAACACACGUGCUACAAUGGCCAGGACAAUGAGAAGCGAUACCGCGAGGUGGAGCAAAUCUAUAAACCUGGUCUCAGUUCGGAUUGUAGUCUGCAACUCGACUACAUGAAGCUGGAAUCACUAGUAAUCGUAGAUCAGCUAUGCUAC